GCACCCAUAGCUCAGCUGGAUAGAGCGCUGCCCUCCGAAGGCAGAGGUCGCAGGUUCGAAUCCUGCUGGGUGCACCA
Molecule: transfer RNA, 77 nt
Filed under: Roseicitreum antarcticum
Lineage: Bacteria; Pseudomonadati; Pseudomonadota; Alphaproteobacteria; Rhodobacterales; Paracoccaceae
Also listed under: 5 other names
Description: tRNA_Arg_CCG
Rfam family: tRNA
About the family: Transfer RNA (tRNA) molecules are approximately 80 nucleotides in length. Their secondary structure includes four short double-helical elements and three loops (D, anti-codon, and T loops).
Source: RNAcentral